Molecule: unclassified non-coding RNA, 279 nt
Filed under: plant metagenome
Description: partial contains small subunit ribosomal RNA, internal transcribed spacer 1, and 5.8S ribosomal RNA
Source: RNAcentral
UUUCCGUAGGUGAACCUGCGGAAGGAUCAUUAAUGCGCUCCCGGACAUGAUCGGUCAGAAAUGGCCCUUUAUGUUUCGGCCAAUUGCCAUCCGUGUGUAGUGUAUAAUUGUUGCUUUGGUGGGCCGCCCCUUGGGCACCGGAUUCGGCUGGCCCGCGCCCGCCAGAGGACCCAAUACUCUGUUUGUUAGUGAUGACUGAGUACUACUUAAUAGUUAAAACUUUCAACAACGGAUAUCUUGGUACUGGCAUCGAUGAAGCACGCAGCCGAUAGGAACAGC